CAGCCGCCGCGGGAAUACGUAGGGUGCGAGCGUUAAUCGGAAUUACUGGGCGUAAAGCGUGCGCAGGCGGUCCGCUAAGACAGAUGUGAAAUCCCCGGGCUUAACCUGGGAACUGCAUUUGUGACUGGCGGGCUAGAGUAUGGCAGAGGGGGGUAGAAUUCCACGUGUAGCAGUGAAAUGCGUAGAGAUGUGGAGGAAUACCGAUGGCGAAGGCAGCCCCCUGGGCCAAUACUGACGCUCAUGCACGAAAGCGUGGGGAGCAAACAAGAUUAGAUACCCCUGUAGUCCCUGUCUCUUAUAA
RNAcentral lists this ribosomal RNA (301 nucleotides) under uncultured bacterium. RNAcentral describes it as "partial 16S ribosomal RNA". It matches the Rfam family "Bacterial small subunit ribosomal RNA", at positions 509 to 809 of the family's 1533-position model. The record is from RNAcentral.